Molecule: ribosomal RNA, 1393 nt
Filed under: uncultured bacterium
Lineage: Bacteria
Description: bacterial SSU rRNA
Rfam family: Bacterial small subunit ribosomal RNA
Source: RNAcentral
ACCGGCGCACGGGUGCGUAACGCGUAUAGAACCUACCUUUUACAGGGGGAUAGUCUGAAGAAAUUUGGCAUAAUACCCCAUAGUAUUGCUUUAAGGCAUCUUAGAGUAAUUAAAGAUUUAUCGGUAAGAGAUGGCUAUGCGUCCUAUUAGCUAGUUGGUACGGUAGAGGCGCACCAAGGCGACGAUAGGUAGGGGUUCUGAGAGGGAUAUCCCCCACACUGGUACUGAGACACGGACCAGACUCCUACGGGAGGCAGCAGUGAGGAAUAUUGGACAAUGGUGGGAACACUGAUCCAGCCAUGCCGCGUGCAGGAAGACGGCCUUAUGGGUUGUAAACUGCUUUUAUAUAGGAAGAAACCCUUCUACGUGUAGAAGUUUGACGGUACUAUAUGAAUAAGCACCGGCUAACUCCGUGCCAGCAGCCGCGGUAAUACGGAGGGUGCAAGCGUUAUCCGGAAUCAUUGGGUUUAAAGGGUCCGUAGGCGGGCUAAUAAGUCAGGGGUGAAAUCUCACAGCUCAACUGUGAAACUGCCUUUGAUACUGUUAGUCUUGAGUUAUAUGGAAGUAGAUAGAAUAAGUAGUGUAGCGGUGAAAUGCAUAGAUAUUACUUAGAAUACCGAUUGCGAAGGCAGUCUACUACGUAUAUACUGACGCUAAUGGACGAAAGCGUGGGGAGCGAACAGGGUUAGAUACCCUGGUAGUCCACGCCGUAAACGAUGGACACUAGUUGUUGGGCUCUAGGUUCAGUGACUAAGCGAAAGUGAUAAGUGUCCCACCUGGGGAGUACGUUCGCAAGAAUGAAACUCAAAGGAAUUGACGGGGGCCCGCACAAGCGGUGGAGCAUGUGGUUUAAUUCGAUGAUACGCGAGGAACCUUACCAAGGCUUAAAUGUAGAUUGCAUUAUUCAGAGAUGAAUAUUUCUUCGGACUAUUUACAAGGUGCUGCAUGGUUGUCGUCAGCUCGUGCCGUGAGGUGUCAGGUUAAGUCCUAUAACGAGCGCAACCCCUAUCGUUAGUUGCUAGCAGGUAAUGCUGAGGACUCUAGCGAGACUGCCGGUGCAAGCCGUGAGGAAGGUGGGGAUGACGUCAAAUCAUCACGGCCCUUACGUCUUGGGCUACACACGUGCUACAAUGGUAGGUACAGAGGGCAGCUACCCCGCGAGGGGGUGCGAAUCUUCAAAGCCUAUCACAGUUCGGAUCGGAGUCUGCAACUCGACUCUGUGAAGCUGGAAUCGCUAGUAAUCGCAUAUCAGCCAUGAUGCGGUGAAUACGUUCCCGGGCCUUGUACACACCGCCCGUCAAGCCAUGGAAGCUGGGGGUACCUGAAGUCGGUGACCGAAAGGAGCUGCCUAGGGUAAAACUAGUAACUAGGGCUAAGUCGUAACAAGGUAACC